RNAcentral lists this ribosomal RNA (389 nucleotides) under Syndiniales sp. RNAcentral's name for it is "partial small subunit ribosomal RNA". It matches the Rfam family "Eukaryotic small subunit ribosomal RNA", at positions 582 to 975 of the family's 1831-position model. The record is from RNAcentral. Lineage: Eukaryota; Dinophyceae; Syndiniales.
AUUCCAGCUCCAAUAGCGUAUAUUAAAGUUGUUGCGGUAAAAAAGCUCGUAGUUGGAUUUCUGUCGAGAACAGCCGGUCACGACUUUGUCGUUGUAUCUGGUUUGGUCUUGGCAUCCUCUUGGGGAACAUUUCUGCGCUUCACUGCGUGGAGUGGUAUUCAAGACUUUUACUUUGAGGAAAUUAGAGUGUUCACAGCAGGCAAUCGCCCUGAAUAUAUUAGCAUGGAAUAAUGAUAUAGGACCUUGGUUCUAUUUUGUUGGUUUCUAGAACUAAGGUAAUGAUUAAUAGGGACAAUUGGGGGCAUUCGUAUUAACGCGUCAGAGGUGGAAUUCUUAGAUUGCGUUACGACGAACUACUGCGAAAGCAUUUGCCAAGGAUGUUUUCAUUA